This 418-nucleotide ribosomal RNA is filed under the name Enterobacteriaceae bacterium R-31766. Its description in RNAcentral is "bacterial SSU rRNA". It matches the Rfam family "Bacterial small subunit ribosomal RNA", at positions 14 to 429 of the family's 1533-position model. Lineage: Bacteria; Pseudomonadati; Pseudomonadota; Gammaproteobacteria; Enterobacterales; Enterobacteriaceae. The record is from RNAcentral.
UGAUCUGGCUCAGAUUGAACGCUGGCGGCAGGCCUAACACAUGCAAGUCGAGCGGUAGCACAGAAGAGCUUGCUCUUUGGGUGACGAGCGGCGGACGGGUGAGUAAUGUCUGGGAAACUGCCUGAUGGAGGGGGAUAACUACUGGAAACGGUAGCUAAUACCGCAUAACGUCGCAAGACCAAAGUGGGGGACCUUCGGGCCUCAUGCCAUCAGAUGUGCCCAGAUGGGAUUAGCUAGUAGGUGAGGUAAUGGCUCACCUAGGCGACGAUCCCUAGCUGGUCUGAGAGGAUGACCAGCCACACUGGAACUGAGACACGGUCCAGACUCCUACGGGAGGCAGCAGUGGGGAAUAUUGCACAAUGGGCGCAAGCCUGAUGCAGCCAUGCCGCGUGUAUGAAGAAGGCCUUCGGGUUGUAAA